This 291-nucleotide ribosomal RNA is filed under the name uncultured bacterium. RNAcentral's name for it is "partial 16S ribosomal RNA". It matches the Rfam family "Bacterial small subunit ribosomal RNA", at positions 29 to 304 of the family's 1533-position model. The record is from RNAcentral.
AACGAACGCUGGCGGCGCGCCUAAUACAUGCAAGUCGAGCGAGAAGACGUAGCAAUACGUUUGUAAAGCGGCGAACGGGUGAGGGAAUACAUGGGUAACCUACCCGUCGAGUGGGGAAUAACUAGCCGAAAGGUUAGCUAAUACCGCGUACGCUCCUUGGAACUUCGGUUCAGGGAGGAAAAGCGAUACCGUGGGUAUCGCGCUCUUGGAUGGGGCUCAUGUCCUAUCCAGCUUGUUGGNGAGGUAACGGCUCACCAAGGCUUCGACGGGUAGCUGGUCUGAGAGGACAAU